RNAcentral lists this ribosomal RNA (460 nucleotides) under uncultured bacterium. Its description in RNAcentral is "partial 16S ribosomal RNA". It matches the Rfam family "Bacterial small subunit ribosomal RNA", at positions 338 to 795 of the family's 1533-position model. The record is from RNAcentral.
CCUACGGGCGGCAGCAGUGAGGAAUAUUGGUCAAUGGACGAGAGUCUGAACCAGCCAAGUAGCGUGAAGGAUGACUGCCCUAUGGGUUGUAAACUUCUUUUAUAUGGGAAUAAAAUGUUCCACGUGUGGGAUUUUGUAUGUACCAUAUGAAUAAGGAUCGGAUAACUCCGUGCCAGCAGCCGCGGUAAUACGGAGGAUCCGAGCGUUAUCCGGAUUUAUUGGGUUUAAAGGGAGCGUAGGUGGAUUGUUAAGUCAGUUGUGAAAGUUUGCGGCUCAACCGUAAAAUUGCAGUUGAAACUGGCAGUCUAGAGUACAGUAGAGGUAGGCGGAAUUCGUGGUGUAGCGGUGAAAUGCAGAGAUAUCACGAAGAACUCCGAUUGCGAAGGCAGCUCACUGGACUGCAACUGACACUGAGGCUCGAAAGUGUGGGUAUCAAACAGGAUUAGAUACCCUUGUAGUC